UACGAAGGGGGCUAGCGUUGUUCGGAUUAACUGGGCGUAAAGGGUGCGUAGGCGGGGUUUUAAGUCAGGGGUGAAAUGCCGAGGCUCAACUUCGGAACUGCCUUUGAUACUGGAACUCUUGAGUCUGGGAGAGGUGAGUGGAACUGCGAGUGUAGAGGUGAAAUUCGUAGAUAUUCGCAAGAACACCAGUGGCGAAGGCGGCUCACUGGCCCGGUACUGACGCUGAGGUGCGAAAGCGUGGGGAGCAAACAGG
Molecule: ribosomal RNA, 253 nt
Filed under: uncultured bacterium
Lineage: Bacteria
Description: partial 16S ribosomal RNA
Rfam family: Bacterial small subunit ribosomal RNA
Source: RNAcentral